GAGGCUGACAGAUGCUGAGAGAGUGGGAGGAGGCGGAGGAUUGGGCAGGAGGAGGAGUACGAUCAAGAGGAGGAAGAGGAGGAUACGAGAGGAGCACACGCCUGGCUGCUCACCCAAUCGGAGGCGGCGGCGGAGGUGACAGUGGCGGCGCGAAUCACUGCCAGCCAAUCACUUAGGGCGAUUGGCUGUGACGUUAUCAGUCUUCAUUUGCGUCAGGCCGCGGUCGUUGUGGUGACCAAUGGCAGCUUCAAAUAUACUGAAAAAUUACACUGUUUCGAACUCGGUGUUACGAAGCCAAGCGAACCACCUGCGAGCAGCAGUGGCGCCGCGCAGUCCACUGUCCACUGGUGAGGCGCCGGGAGUGCGAGCCGCGAGCGUGCUGUGGAGCCUCCUAGGCCAUGGCGCCCCCAACGCCCACACGGGAUGAGUACAAAACAACAUACCUACCCAUGAGAUCCUCUUUGAACUCUAGUCAAGACCCCCGGCCAGGGAGAUCCCGCGGGACUGGCCAGACCCAACCCCUGCCCUGCCACGCUGCUGCUUCUGCUCUUCCUGGUAGUGGAUACUCACAUCUGGUACUGGCGCAGCAGCAGGCCUGUCAGCUCCCCUACUCUGUUGGCAUUGUUCUGGGACGUCAAGGACACAACCAAGUCAUUGCCGCCCCUCAGAUGGAUUAUCACCAGCUGGUCUUGUCCAGGGCUCACACUGAUCCCAGUCACCUGAGGAGCAAUAGUACAGCCGGGUAGUGCACGCUGACAGAGGUGAGGAUGGGUGGGAUGCUGCACCCUUCAUGUGACCUACUAUGUACACUCACGUGAGACCAACGCUUGCUUAAUGACCUCAGUUCACUCAUUUUUUGUUCCUCACAUAGUUUCUUCAUACUUUCAUUAGUAAACUGUACAACAGCCUUUCUUUGCUUAUAUUUCCUCUUCCUUAUAACCUGAACCCUUUUAUGAGUUGAGUAGCAACACUUUUCAAACCUAAUCUGACCAUCUAUCCCAGAAGUAUUUGUGUCCUCUGUUAUACUAUGUUUGCAGCAUGAAGUCCGUUCUAGGUGUGGCAGAUUAUGGAAUUCCCAUGAGUAUGGCGCUGCUAGUUCGACCGCCAAUUAUCAGAUUAACACUGUCUCCCUACCCACAACCUAAUUGGCAGUCAAACUGGCAGCACCGCACUGAUGGGAAUUCCAGAAUCUGCCACAACUAGAACGGACUUCAUGCUGCGAACAGAGUAUAGUGGGAACUGUGCUUUUAACUCAACUAAACUGCUCUCUAACUGUCCUAUAAAUCUUUAGAAAAGGUUUUGUAUGCUAGAUAGUAACUUUGCCAGACAGUACAUAGUGUCCUCCUGCAGCAGCUGCUUGUGGCACAUCAAUUUUUGUUAAUUUCUUCAAUCCAGUGAAGUGCAAGUAUCUAUAAUUGUCUAUCAUAAAAGAAAAUAGGCUUGUAGCCGUUUUCUGUGGUUUGUUUUCAGAAAAAUGCUCUAAAUAACAAAUUUAUGCUGAAGCCUGUUAUAUUUGGAAGACAACAGGGUAGUGUUGUGUGGCUAUAGUCAUGACUGCAGUGAGAAAGGGAGAUCAGGCAGGUGUGACAUCCAGGUUUCCCUAGCUAACCACUCAUCAACCAGCCCAAAAAGUAGAAUGAACAGCUGGGAGAACUGCACACCCAGCGCCUGGACCAGGACUCUAACUCAGAUGCUUGGACUCAUCACUUCACUACAUUACAGAGGACCUAUAUCCUACUUAUAGUACUUUAAAUUAAGAAAUUGGCAGUUGCUUACCACACACAAGGAUAUAAGAAGAGUACAAGAGGCUGUCUGGUCUCUUGUAGUCUCUCCUUGUAUUCUCGUGUAUAAUGCAUGCAUCUGGCAUCUGAAUGUGAUUUUAGAAAAAUACAAUGUAUAAAAUGAUAACAAACAAAUACUUCAAAUUCCCAUCUGACCUUCAAUGAACUGAAAGGCCAACAUGAAUAUUUAUAAAUCAACCUAUUUUAAUUAAAAAAUUUCAUUGCU
Eriocheir sinensis (Chinese mitten crab) is the source of this 2007-nucleotide long non-coding RNA. RefSeq lists it as uncharacterized. The record is from RefSeq and is a predicted model, not a curated record. NCBI's taxonomy places the organism in Eukaryota, Metazoa, Arthropoda, Malacostraca, Decapoda, Varunidae. The transcript is spliced from 6 exons.